CAGUAGCCGCGGUAAUACGAAGGGUGCAAGCGUUAAUCGGAAUUACUGGGCGUAAAGGGUGCGUAGGCGGUUAGUUAAGUCUGUCGUGAAAUCCCCGGGCUCAACCUGGGAAUGGCGAUGGAUACUGGCAUGCUAGAGUAUGGCAGAGGGGGGUGGAAUUCCACGUGUAGCAGUGAAAUGCGUAGAGAUGCGGAGGAACACCGAUGGCGAAGGCAGCCCCCUGGGCCAAUACUGACGCUCAUGCACGAAAGCGUGGGGAGCAAACAGGAUUAGAUACCCCAGUAGUCCCUGUCUCUUAUAC
RNAcentral lists this ribosomal RNA (301 nucleotides) under uncultured bacterium. RNAcentral describes it as "partial 16S ribosomal RNA". It matches the Rfam family "Bacterial small subunit ribosomal RNA", at positions 509 to 807 of the family's 1533-position model. The record is from RNAcentral.